Coturnix japonica (Japanese quail) is the source of this 804-nucleotide long non-coding RNA. The record is from Ensembl. Lineage: Eukaryota; Metazoa; Chordata; Aves; Galliformes; Phasianidae.
CAUCACUUGCUCAGUGUCGCUCUGCUGAUGCUACUCUGUUGUUUUGCAAGGGGGUUGUUAUGAUAUAUAUAUUUUUCUUUUUCUGUAGCAUCCCAGCUGGAAAUGUAAGAUAAUAUCCAAAAUAAUUAAGAGCUCCUCACACUAUAUUUCCUGCUUGCAUUCUGUCUCCAAGACAUCUUCCAUGGGAGAAAAUAUAAUAUGUUGUGUGUGUCUGGACCAUCAAACCCCAAAGCUGACCCUGCACCCUAUGUACAGAGCCUCACCCUGACCAGCAGAGCUGUGUAGGGUGAGCCUCGUCAUGGAACUGUCUGCACUGUCUGGAGCACAGUGCCUGAAUGCAAAUUUGGUUCCAUCCAUGAAGGCCCUGGUGCAUCAGCCCCAGAAGUUUCUUCUCCCUCUCUCCUUAUGGAUAUGUAUAUGGCAAUGUGUCUGAGGUGUGAAAAUUCAAGAUCUGGGGUUGCCAAAGAUUGCUGCAAAGCCUGGUGAAGACCACAGCAGUUGACCAGUGAAUUUUCUACCCGAGGGCUGCAUGAUCCAAAGGGGCUCCUUGGCAGCAAGGUGGGAGAGGGUAGCCUCCCUGUAGCAGUGAUUCCUACCUGUGAGGAGCAGACAGCCUUCGGGAGGACUUGUCCAUAUUUACUUUGUGUCCCCAUCGUGCUGUCCUACAGUCACCUAGCAGCCAGACAGCACCAACAACGAGCAAUUUCAGAGCCCCAAUUAGUGAAUUUACUGACAGCUCAUGGUAAGAGGGUGAAUGCAUGCACCAUUCUAUUACUCUUAGCAGACUAUUGGAGCUUGAUUGUG